GAUGAACGCUAGCUACAGGCUUAACACAUGCAAGUCGAGGGGAAACGAUACUGGAAGCUUGCUUCCGAUAGGCGUCGACCGGCGCACGGGUGAGUAACGCGUAUCCAACCUGCCCACCACUUGGGAAUAACCUUGCGAAAGUAAGACUAAUGCCCAAUGAUAUCUCUAGAAGACAUCUGAAGGAGAUUAAAGAUUUAUCGGUGAUGGAUGGGGAUGCGUCUGAUUAGCUUGUUGGCGGGGUAACGGCCCACCAAGGCGACGAUCAGUAGGGGGACGGAGAGGAGGGUCCCCCACAGUGGCACUGAGACACGGUCCAAGCUCGUGCGGGAGGGAGCAGUGGGGAAUAUUGGUCAAGGGGCGAGAGCCUGAACCGCCCAAGUAGCGUGCAGGAUGACGGCCCUAUGUGUUGUAAACUGUUUUGAAAAGGGAAUAAAGUUAGUCUCGUGGGACUUUUUGCAUGAACCUUAUAAAAAAGGACCGGCUAAUUCCGGGCCAGCCGCCGCGGUAA
This 508-nucleotide ribosomal RNA is filed under the name uncultured bacterium. RNAcentral's name for it is "partial 16S ribosomal RNA". It matches the Rfam family "Bacterial small subunit ribosomal RNA", at positions 28 to 523 of the family's 1533-position model. The record is from RNAcentral.